This 74-nucleotide transfer RNA is filed under the name Bradyrhizobium sp. ISRA426. RNAcentral's name for it is "tRNA-Val". It matches the Rfam family "tRNA". Rfam says of the family: Transfer RNA (tRNA) molecules are approximately 80 nucleotides in length. Their secondary structure includes four short double-helical elements and three loops (D, anti-codon, and T loops). RNAcentral also lists the same sequence under 3 other names. Lineage: Bacteria; Pseudomonadati; Pseudomonadota; Alphaproteobacteria; Hyphomicrobiales; Nitrobacteraceae. The record is from RNAcentral.
GGGCGCAUAGUUCAGCGGAGAGCGUUCGCUUCACACGCGAGAGAUCCAUGGUUCGAUCCCAUGUGCGCCCACCA